This 99-nucleotide transfer RNA is filed under the name Edwardsiella ictaluri. Its description in RNAcentral is "tRNA-Thr(agt)". Lineage: Bacteria; Pseudomonadati; Pseudomonadota; Gammaproteobacteria; Enterobacterales; Hafniaceae. The record is from RNAcentral.
UCCGGCAGGUGGCGAAUAUCGGGGGCGCUGGUGACGAAGUGCGUCACAUGGUAGUUGUAAGUUUGACGGGCCAAGAGGAUCGUCUCCCUGUUGCUGGAG